CAACUGCCAGCCUAUGGCCACCAAUUGGAUCCAGGAGAAAGUGUGGCUCUCUCAGGAGGUGACUCAGAGUUAACAGAGGAGCUGGACAGCAGGUGGGGACCCCAGGCUGUACCCCUGUUGAUCUGGACAUAUUUCUAGGUGGACAAACUGAGAGUGAUGUUCCUGGAGAUGAAAAAUGAGAAAGAAAAACUCAUGAUCAAGUUCCAGAGCCAUGUAAGAAUGUCCAUGCCGUUCCAGGGCCAUUUCCUACCAUCGUUAACAAAUGCCCCGCCAUGUUUCCCCUGUCCUACCAAGUUUGCUCUUUUAUGCAUAGGACUUAUAAAAUCUGUUUGCUUUCUAGAGAAAUAUCCUAGAGGAGAACCUUCGGCGCUCUGACAAGGAGUUAGAAAAACUAGAUGACAUUGUUCAGCAUAUUUAUAAGACCCUGCUCUCUAUUCCAGAGGUGGUGAGGGGAUGCAAAGAACUACAGGGAUUGCUGGAAUUUCUGAGCUAAGAAACUGAAAGCCAGAAUCUGCUUCACCCCUUUUUACCUGCAAUACCCCCUUACCCCAAUACCAAGACCAACUGGCAUAGAGCCAACUGAGAUAAAUGCUAUUUAAAUAAAGUGUAUUUAAUGAAUUUCUCCAA
This 627-nucleotide small RNA is filed under the name Pan troglodytes (chimpanzee). RNAcentral's name for it is "retained intron". The record is from RNAcentral. Lineage: Eukaryota; Metazoa; Chordata; Mammalia; Primates; Hominidae.